CUGGAGUCCUUGUGGCUAACCCAAACGGAUAGGUACCAAAUCAGAGAUGGGAGUCAAUCUCAAUUCGAAUUGGAGAAGGAGACACCUUCCUGUAUUCCCAAUAAAAGGAGGGCUUUGUCACAAUGCUCUACACCCCUGCUUCUACACAAAGAAUCAGAAAUUACUCCCUUGUUCGCAAAAAUUGGAUUUUCUGCUACGGGUUUGGAACGAUUCUUCAAGCAAUUGGCGCGUGCUUCCACAACUUGUCUCUAGAAUCAAAGUCUCGGACAGGUAGCUCGACUGCAUAGCACCAUUCUUGAAGUCAAAGCAAUUGUUGGUUAAACUUUCUCUACUGCUACUCACCGAAAACAAUUAAUAUUGCUGCAGUUUGCCUUUGUUGUUGUCUUCAUAAGCCACCACUUCACACAUUCAAUUAUAUUUGGCAAUAUAAACCAUGUUUUUGUCUUCUUGCUUAUGACAUAAAGCAAAGCCAUGUUUUUGGCUUAAGUU
Molecule: long non-coding RNA, 489 nt
Organism: Rosa chinensis
Lineage: Eukaryota; Viridiplantae; Streptophyta; Magnoliopsida; Rosales; Rosaceae
Exons: 3
Source: RefSeq, a predicted model, not a curated record